This 497-nucleotide ribosomal RNA is filed under the name uncultured bacterium. RNAcentral's name for it is "partial 16S ribosomal RNA". It matches the Rfam family "Bacterial small subunit ribosomal RNA", at positions 28 to 507 of the family's 1533-position model. The record is from RNAcentral.
GGUGAACGCUGGCGGCGUGCCUAAUACAUGCAAGUCGAGCGAACGGACGAGAAGCUUGCUUCUCUGAUGUUAGCGGCGGACGGGUGAGUAACACGUGGAUAACCUACCUAUAAGACUGGGAUAACUUCGGGAAACCGGAGCUAAUACCGGAUAAUAUUUUGAACCGCAUGGUUCAAAAGUGAAAGACGGUCUUGCUGUCACUUAUAGAUGGAUCCGCGCUGCAUUAGCUAGUUGGUAAGGUAACGGCUUACCAAGGCAACGAUGCAUAGCCGACCUGAGAGGGUGAUCGGCCACACUGGAACUGAGACACGGUCCAGACUCCUACGGGAGGCAGCAGUAGGGAAUCUUCCGCAAUGGGCGAAGGCCUGACGGAGCAACGCCGCGUGAGUGAUGAAGGUCUUCGGAUCGUAAAACUCUGUUAUUAGGGAAGAACAUAUGUGUAAGUAACUGUGCACAUCUUGACGGUACCUAAUCAGAAAGCCACGGCUAACUACGUG